This 460-nucleotide ribosomal RNA is filed under the name uncultured bacterium. RNAcentral describes it as "partial 16S ribosomal RNA". It matches the Rfam family "Bacterial small subunit ribosomal RNA", at positions 338 to 795 of the family's 1533-position model. The record is from RNAcentral.
CCUACGGGAGGCAGCAGUGAGGAAUAUUGGUCAAUGGCCGUAAGGCUGAACCAGCCAAGUCGCGUGAAGGAAGAAGGAUCUAUGGUUUGUAAACUUCUUUUAUAGGGGAAUAAAGGUAUCCACGUGUGGAGAUUUGCAUGUACCCUAUGAAUAAGCAUCGGCUAACUCCGUGCCAGCAGCCGCGGUAAUACGGAGGAUUCGAGCGUUAUUCGGAUUUAUUGGGUUUAAAGGGUGCGUAGGUUGUUUUUUAAGUCCGCGGUGAAAGUUUGUGGCUCAACCAUAAAAUUGCCGUUGAAACUGGAAGCCUUGAGUGUGCUUGAGGUAGGCGGAAUGCGUGGUGUAGCGGUGAAAUGCAUAGAUAUCACGCAGAACUCCGAUUGCGAAGGCAGCUUACUAAGCCAUAACUGACGUUGAGGCUCGAAAGCGUGGGGAGCAAACAGGAUUAGAUACCCGUGUAGUC